This is a non-coding RNA of Trichonephila inaurata madagascariensis, 71 nucleotides long. The record is from the annotation of a GenBank genome assembly. NCBI's taxonomy places the organism in Eukaryota, Metazoa, Arthropoda, Arachnida, Araneae, Nephilidae.
GUCUGUAACGCAUUGGAUAACGCGUUGGACUUCUGAUCCAACGGUUGUGGGCUUGAAUCCCACCUGGGAUA